RNAcentral lists this ribosomal RNA (518 nucleotides) under uncultured bacterium. RNAcentral describes it as "bacterial SSU rRNA". It matches the Rfam family "Bacterial small subunit ribosomal RNA", at positions 355 to 887 of the family's 1533-position model. The record is from RNAcentral.
UGGGGAAUCUUGGACAAUGGGGGCAACCCUGAUCCAGCCAUGCCGCGUGAGUGAUGAAGGCCUUAGGGUCGUAAAGCUCUUUCGCCUGUGAAGAUAAUGACGGUAGCAGGUAAAGAAACCCCGGCUAACUCCGUGCCAGCAGCCGCGGUAAUACGGAGGGGGUUAGCGUUGUUCGGAAUUACUGGGCGUAAAGCGCACGUAGGCGGACCAGAAAGUUGGGGGUGAAAUCCCGGGGGCUCAACCCCGGAACUGCCUCCAAAACUAUUGGUCUAGAGUUCGAGAGAGGUGAGUGGAAUUCCAAGUGUAGAGGUGAAAUUCGUAGAUAUUUGGAGGAACACCAGUGGCGAAGGCGGCUCACUGGCUCGAUACUGACGCUGAGGUGCGAAAGUGUGGGGAGCAAAACAGGAUUAGAUACCCCUGGUAGUCCACACCGUAAAACGAUGAAUGCCAGUCGUCGGGUAGCAUGCUAUUCGGUGACGCAGCUAACGCAUUAAGCACUCCGCCUGGGGAGUACGGUC